This 265-nucleotide ribosomal RNA is filed under the name uncultured archaeon. RNAcentral's name for it is "partial 16S ribosomal RNA". It matches the Rfam family "Archaeal small subunit ribosomal RNA", at positions 719 to 982 of the family's 1478-position model. The record is from RNAcentral.
AGUCACUGACAUUAGAUACCCGGGUAGUCCAGGGUGUAAACGCUGCAGACUUGGUGUUGGAGGCCCUUUGGGGGCAUUCAGUGCCGGAGAGAAGUUGUUAAGUCUGCUACUUGGGGAGUACGUCCGCAAGGAUGAAACUUAAGGGAAUUGGCGGGGGAGCACCGCAACGGGAGGAGCGUGCGGUUUAAUUGGAUUCAACACCGUAAAACUCACCAGGGAAGACUGUUACAUGAAGGCCGAGAUGAAGACUCUGCUAGAUUUUCAG